Molecule: long non-coding RNA, 994 nt
Filed under: Phasianus colchicus (ring-necked pheasant)
Lineage: Eukaryota; Metazoa; Chordata; Aves; Galliformes; Phasianidae
Description: lncRNA (ENSPCLG00000003037.1)
Source: RNAcentral
CAAAGGACCUAAUAGUUCUAAUAAGGAAUGUGAUUUGAUUUUUUCAGGAAAGAUGUGAGGAACCUAAGGAAUCUACAUAAGAGGAUGCCUCCUCAUUCUGGAAACCUGUCAAAAAAUAAUAAGACAAAGGCUGUUCUUACUGGCUCAACAUGGUCCAGGGAGUCUGCCUGUGGUUAUUGUACCAUCCUGGCUUGUUGACUGGACCUGCAUGCUGCUGUGAGGAUGAGAUGGUUGCCUAGUCUAUUCUACUGUUGCUAUUGCUCCUGCUUUGCCACCCUGGGACUUGUGGUCCCUGUCAGGAAAAUCCAAAAUGCUCACAAAUUCCUUACUAUUCUUCAUUUUUGGAAAGAAGAGAAAUAUUUCCCAACUGCCCAGUUCAAGUGUGGUAGUUUUGUGGUGUAGUUCUUCUGGAAGAGAGCUUAGGUCCUACAAGAUAAUCCUCCUCCCUUAUUACAUUACAAAGGAGUAGGUCUCAUCAAGUUUAGAGUAAUAGAUGAAAACCAGCAGCAAAACUGGGUGAAAACACUGGAACUUUGGGUGUGGAUUUCUGCUGAAUUUUUUGCAUUAGUUAGGUGGUGUUUUUCUAUCUUUUCCACUGAACAUCUCUUCCCAAGAGAUUACUGACAUUAGUAAUCUUGAGUAAUCAGCUGCAUCUUUCUUUCCUGGGUACUGGAAAAUUCCAGCAGUAAUAAUCAGUUCUACCUCAAACAUCCCAAUUUUUGUGUGGUGCUUAAAUCAUUUGGAACUGUUUUCUACAGUCUUUUUUUAUCUUAAGUAUCUGCAAAAAAAAGCAAAUUCUUAAUUUAGGUACUUAUAGCAAGAAAUAUGCUACACUGUGACGAGAACACAGGAUAGUACUUCUACCAGUUUGCUCUGUUUUUCUAGUUAAAAGGAUCAGUAGGUUAUGUGCUGGGGAAAACCUUUGCUAUCCUACCUGCUUUUUCUGCUCUUCUACAUCCCUCUGUAUUAUUUGUGGUUCUUUGGCUCCCUCUUA